RNAcentral lists this ribosomal RNA (459 nucleotides) under uncultured bacterium. RNAcentral describes it as "partial 16S ribosomal RNA". It matches the Rfam family "Bacterial small subunit ribosomal RNA", at positions 338 to 795 of the family's 1533-position model. The record is from RNAcentral.
CCUACGGGUGGCAGCAGUGAGGAAUAUUGGUCAAUGGGCGCGAGCCUGAACCAGCCAAGUCGCGUGAGGGAAGACGGUCCUAUGGAUUGUAAACCUCUUUUGUCGGGGAGCAAAAGACGCCACGCGUGGCGUUCCGAGAGUACCCGAAGAAAAAGCAUCGGCUAACUCCGUGCCAGCAGCCGCGGUAAUACGGAGGAUGCGAGCGUUAUCCGGAUUUAUUGGGUUUAAAGGGUGCGCAGGCGGAAGAUCAAGUCAGCGGUAAAAUUGAGAGGCUCAACCUCUUCGAGCCGUUGAAACUGGACGCCUUGAGUUCACAACAGGCAGGCGGAAUUCGUGGUGUAGCGGUGAAAUGCAUAGAUAUCACGAGGAACCCCGAUUGCGAAGGCAGCCUGCCGGGGUGCGACUGACGCUGAGGCUCGAAGGUGCGGGUAUCAAACAGGAUUAGAUACCCCAGUAGUC